Ailuropoda melanoleuca (giant panda) is the source of this 579-nucleotide long non-coding RNA. RefSeq lists it as uncharacterized. The record is from RefSeq and is a predicted model, not a curated record. The transcript is spliced from 3 exons. NCBI's taxonomy places the organism in Eukaryota, Metazoa, Chordata, Mammalia, Carnivora, Ursidae.
UCCUCUAGGUGGGGGUAAGAACACAGACAGAAGUGGAUUCCAUUUGUAUUCAGGCUCACCGUUGGCUUUUCCAGAUUAGCGUUUGAAAGAACAACAUUUAGCCUCCAAAUUUUAUACCAUCAAAAGUUUUCAUAGAGGAAGGUGAGGCAUUGGGAUCACGACUGGCCAGUGAUUUCUCUGGCGGCGUCUGAAAUUCAGGAGUGUUAGUGCCCAGACCGCCUUCCCCAUGCUCCUCACCGGCAAUGACUCACCGCCCAUACUAAGGACUGACCUCAGAACCCACCACCGUUCCGGUUACACAAGCUUGACACCUGCCAGUAAUUCCUGACACUCUUGUCUCCCUCACCUCUGAGCCCACGACGACCCAUGGCCAUGAGCUGUUCCCUCAGCUGUUGCACGUCUCUCCAGUGUAUCCACUCCUGUCCGUUUUCAUCCCAACCUUGGUCAUCACCUUGCGCCUGGACUGCCGUGCUAGAAGCCUUUGUAAUGGGUCUGCCCACAUCCACCGCAGCUGAAAUCCCAUCCACUCUCCCUCCGGUAGCAGAAUGAUCUUUCUGAACGCACAUCCCAGCAUGUCAC